This 254-nucleotide ribosomal RNA is filed under the name uncultured bacterium. RNAcentral describes it as "partial 16S ribosomal RNA". It matches the Rfam family "Bacterial small subunit ribosomal RNA", at positions 524 to 776 of the family's 1533-position model. The record is from RNAcentral.
UACGUAGGGGGCAAGCGUUACCCGGAUUUACUGGGCGUAAAGCGCGUGUAGGCGGCUGGCCAAGUGUGGUGUGAAAUCCCCCGGCUCAACCGGGGAACUGCAUUGCAAACUGGUCUGGCUAGAGUGCAGGAGAGGAUAGUGGAAUUCCCAGUGUAGUGGUGAAAUACGUAGAGAUUGGGAAGAACACCAGUGGCGAAGGCGGCUAUCUGGACGGUUUCUGACGCUAAGACGCGAAAGCGUGGGGAGCAAACAGG